GGCGAACGGCUGAGGAACACGUGCGUACCGACCCUGCGGUGGGGAAUACCGGCUGGAAACAGCCAACAAUACCGCAUACGCUUGGCAACAAGGAAAGCCCUUGGGUGCCGCAGGACGGGCGCGCGGCCCAUCAGGUAGUUGGCGGGGUAACGGCCCACCAAGCCGGUGACGGGUCACUGGUCUGCGAGGACGGCCAGUCAGACUGGGACUGCGACACGGCCCAGACACCUACGGGUGGCAGCAGCAAGGAAUCUUCCCCAAUGGACGCAAGUCUGAGGGAGCAACGCCGCGUGGAGGAUGACGGCUUUCGGGUUGUAAACUCCUUUUCGGUGGGAUGAAACGGACAGUACCACCGGAAUAAGCCCCGGCUAACUCUGUGCCAGCAGCCGCGGUAAGACAGAGGGGGCAAGCGUUGUCCGGAAUUACUGGGCGUAAAGCGCGCGCAGACGGUGGGUGAUGUGCCUGGUGACAGUCCGCCGCUUAACGGCGGGAGGUCUGGGUAAACACACACACUAGCAAUAGGGAGAGGGGUGUGGAAUACCCGGUGGAGCGGUGAAAUGCGUAGAGAUCGGGUGGAACACCAGUGGCGAAGGCGGCACCCUGGCCCUAGAUGGACGUUGAGGCGCGACAGCGUGGGGAGCAAACGGGAUUAGAUACCCCGGUAGUC
This 667-nucleotide ribosomal RNA is filed under the name uncultured Chloroflexaceae bacterium. RNAcentral describes it as "bacterial SSU rRNA". It matches the Rfam family "Bacterial small subunit ribosomal RNA", at positions 97 to 795 of the family's 1533-position model. Lineage: Bacteria; Bacillati; Chloroflexota; Chloroflexia; Chloroflexales; Chloroflexaceae. The record is from RNAcentral.